RNAcentral lists this non-coding RNA (30 nucleotides) under Mus musculus (house mouse). Lineage: Eukaryota; Metazoa; Chordata; Mammalia; Rodentia; Muridae. The record is from RNAcentral.
UGCAUUCAAGGGCCUUUCCACUCACACUGA